GACGAACGCUGGCGGCGUGCUUAACACAUGCAAGUCGAACGGAACGCCUUGGAAAGAGAUUUCGGUCAAUGGAAGGGGUUGUUUAGUGGCGGACGGGUGAGUAACGCGUGAGGAACCUGCCUUUCAGAGGGGGACAACAGUUGGAAACGACUGCUAAUACCGCAUAAUGCAUAGGUAUCGCAUGGUACAGAUGCCAAAGAUUUAUCGCUGAGAGAUGGCCUCGCGUCUGAUUAGCUAGUUGGUAGGGUAACGGCCUACCAAGGCGACGAUCAGUAGCCGGACUGAGAGGUUGGCCGGCCACAUUGGGACUGAGAUACGGCCCAG
This 324-nucleotide ribosomal RNA is filed under the name uncultured bacterium. RNAcentral's name for it is "bacterial SSU rRNA". It matches the Rfam family "Bacterial small subunit ribosomal RNA", at positions 28 to 334 of the family's 1533-position model. The record is from RNAcentral.